This 465-nucleotide ribosomal RNA is filed under the name uncultured bacterium. Its description in RNAcentral is "partial 16S ribosomal RNA". It matches the Rfam family "Bacterial small subunit ribosomal RNA", at positions 28 to 507 of the family's 1533-position model. The record is from RNAcentral.
GACGAACGCUGGCGGCGUGCUUAACACAUGCAAGUCGAACGGAAAGGCCCUGCUUGCAGGGUACUCGAGUGGCGAACGGGUGAGUAACACGUGGGUGAUCUGCCCUGCACUUCGGGAUAAGCCUGGGAAACUGGGUCUAAUACCGGAUAGGAGCCAUUUUUAGUGUGAUGGUUGGAAAGUUUUUUCGGUGUAGGAUGAGCUCGCGGCCUAUCAGCUUGUUGGUGGGGUAAUGGCCUACCAAGGCGGCGACGGGUAGCCGGCCUGAGAGGGUGGACGGCCACAUUGGGACUGAGAUACGGCCCAGACUCCUACGGGAGGCAGCAGUGGGGAAUAUUGCACAAGGGGCGCAAGCCUGAUGCAGCGACGCCGCGGGGGGGAUGACGGCCUUCGGGUUGUAAACGCCUUUCGCUAGGGACGAAGCUUUUUGUGACGGUACCUAGAUAAGAAGCACCGGCUAACUACGUG